Perca flavescens (yellow perch) is the source of this 205-nucleotide long non-coding RNA. RefSeq lists it as uncharacterized. The transcript has 3 exons. Lineage: Eukaryota; Metazoa; Chordata; Actinopteri; Perciformes; Percidae. The record is from RefSeq and is a predicted model, not a curated record.
CCUAUGUUCCUGGAUCCUGAGCCUCAUUGCUCUUACCUUUCGUGAGCCUCAACCUCUUUGCCGUCAAAUUGUUGUUGUUUGACGUUCCUGGAUCCUUCUUACGUUCCUGCUUCCUUCCUAUGUUCCUGGAUCCUGAGCCUCAUUGCUCUUACCUUUCGUGAGCCUCAACCUCUUCGCCUCAUUGUUUGACGUUCCUGGAUCCGUC